CCUGGCUCAGAUUGAACGCUGGCGGCAUGCCUAACACAUGCAAGUCGAACGGCAGCACGGUCUAGUUUACUAGAUGGGUGGCGAGUGGCGGACGGGUGAGUAAUGCGCAGGAAUAUGCCUUAAAGUGGGGGACAACUUGGGGAAACUCAAGCUAAUACCGCAUAAUCCCUUUGGAGAAAAGCUGGGGACCUUCGGGCCUGGCGCUUUAAGAUUAGCCU
This 218-nucleotide ribosomal RNA is filed under the name uncultured bacterium. Its description in RNAcentral is "partial 16S ribosomal RNA". It matches the Rfam family "Bacterial small subunit ribosomal RNA", at positions 18 to 232 of the family's 1533-position model. The record is from RNAcentral.